This is a long non-coding RNA of Gallus gallus (chicken), 371 nucleotides long. Lineage: Eukaryota; Metazoa; Chordata; Aves; Galliformes; Phasianidae. The record is from Ensembl.
CAAAAGUCUGAGUGACUCAAUGCAAGCAUAUUUGUACUGACGAUGGACAGCCGGUGCAUUGUUUUAUCUGUACAUUGCUCAGUUUUUAAGUUAUAUAGGAAGCCUAGAAAAUGGAGUUGCUGUAACUGUGGCUAGAGAGGUUCUUCUACUCUGCAAAAAAUUCAGCAGGCCACGGUGUUGGGUACAUUAUCAUCGCUGCAGGUUGGGCACAGAGAAUAACAUGAAGAUAGAACUUCCAGAAUCUCUUCUGCCUCAGAGGCUGAGUUCUGCAGACUUCUGAAGGUGGGAGCUCUGCAUUGGGCCAAGAGAACUCUGAGGAUCUCGGAAGCAAAACCAAGACCUUUGGUUGCUGGGAACUUAUUAAAAGAGAA